This 253-nucleotide ribosomal RNA is filed under the name uncultured bacterium. RNAcentral's name for it is "partial 16S ribosomal RNA". It matches the Rfam family "Bacterial small subunit ribosomal RNA", at positions 524 to 776 of the family's 1533-position model. The record is from RNAcentral.
UACGUAGGGGGCGAGCGUUGUCCGGAUUUAUUGGGCGUAAAGAGCGUGUAGGCGGCCAGGUAGGUCUGCUGUGAAAACUCGAGGCUCAACCUCGAGACGUCGGCGGAAACCAUCUGGCUAGAGUCCGGAAGAGGAGAGUGGAAUUCCUGGUGUAGCGGUGAAAUGCGCAGAUAUCAGGAAGAACCCCCGUGGCGAAGGCGGCUCUCUGGGACGGUACUGACGCUGAGACGCGAAAGCGUGGGGAGCGAACGGG